RNAcentral lists this long non-coding RNA (224 nucleotides) under Panax ginseng (ginseng). Its description in RNAcentral is "long non-coding RNA (PGIN_LNC016315)". The record is from RNAcentral. Lineage: Eukaryota; Viridiplantae; Streptophyta; Magnoliopsida; Apiales; Araliaceae.
UCUCCAAAAGUCUUUACCCCCCAGAAACCAAGAAACAAAAUCAAAAGGCUGCACAUAAACCCCCACUCUAUACCCCUUCACCAAGACAUAUUAGCAAUUCAAAGAAUUACUAGUACUCCAUUGACAACACACACCCAGACCAGGACACACCUAGCUACUGCAAACAACAGGAAGCUUAAAUUCUCUCUCUCCCUCUUUCUCUCUCUCUCUCUCUCUUCUUGCCC